RNAcentral lists this ribosomal RNA (421 nucleotides) under uncultured bacterium. RNAcentral describes it as "bacterial SSU rRNA". It matches the Rfam family "Bacterial small subunit ribosomal RNA", at positions 355 to 774 of the family's 1533-position model. The record is from RNAcentral.
UAAGGAAUAUUGGUCAAUGGACGCAAGUCUGUACCAGCCAUGCCGCGUGAAGGAUGAAGGUCCUCUGGAUUGUAAACUUCUUUUAUCUGGGACGAAAACGGGAUUUUUAUCUCAAUUGACGGUACCAGAGGAAUAAGCACCGGCUAACUCCGUGCCAGCAGCCGCGGUAAUACGGAGGGUGCGAGCGUUAUCCGGAUUUACUGGGUUUAAAGGGUGCGUAGGUGGGCUUAUAAGUCAGUGGUGAAAUCUCCGAGCUUAACUUGGAAACUGCCGUUGAUACUAUAGGUCUUGAAUUAUCUGGAGGUAAGCGGAAUAUGUCAUGUAGCGGUGAAAUGCUUAGAUAUGACAUAGAACACCAAUUGCGAAGGCAGCUUACUACAUAUAAAUUGACGCUGAGGCACGAAAGCGUGGGGAUCAAACA